Non-coding RNA from Cinara cedri, 489 nucleotides. NCBI's taxonomy places the organism in Eukaryota, Metazoa, Arthropoda, Insecta, Hemiptera, Aphididae. The record is from the annotation of a GenBank genome assembly.
CGCACAGAGGAGCGUGUCUGGUUGUUGUUCUUUUUCUCUUAUAUUAAUGUCUUCUUCAGCAGUUUUCUGAGCUCUAAACAAUAACAAUAUACGGUUGUAAAAUUUAUAAACUAAUAAAAAUUCGGAUAUUUUUUUCAAUGAGGAUUAGAAUUCCAUUUACAAGACACAGUAGAGAUAAUAUGGGGUAACAAAGAAAGCCCAAAGACUCAAUUGUUGUUGAAAAUAACUUUAAAAUAAAUAUACAUUAACUCAGGUUAUUAUAGAAGUUAUAACUCUUACGGUAUACGUACAUUCUCUUCUAUAAAUAUUCGUUCACAUAAGAGAACUUACUACGGGUAUUUGUGUCGAAAAUUUUUAUUAAAUGUAUUGAUUAUUAACUUUGUGUGUAUAUUUUUUGAGAAUCGGGACUCAGGAAACUCAAAAUACCAAUUCAAUUUCACAACAACAACUCAACGCAAACGAAAAGGCAAAAUUUCUCUGGUUUUUUAU